RNAcentral lists this long non-coding RNA (298 nucleotides) under Nicotiana benthamiana. RNAcentral describes it as "long non-coding RNA (NBEN_LNC039945)". Lineage: Eukaryota; Viridiplantae; Streptophyta; Magnoliopsida; Solanales; Solanaceae. The record is from RNAcentral.
AAUGUGUGGUGUACUGUACUAUUUUUGAUGAACAACAGAAUUUUGUUUUUUGAUCUUGCAAGCCUUAAUAUCGUGCCCUUGAUGUUUACAGAACUCACAAUACUUUGGUUGAUUGUCGAAAACAAUUUGUUGAUGAAACUCGACAGAUUUAAUUCCAGCUGUUUAGCAAUGUGCAAUAAAUCUUUACCGUAGCUUCACAGUGAACUAAGAAAAACCCGAGAAAUCCGAGAAAAUUCGAGACUGAAAAACCCGACUAUUAUAGGUUUGGUUUGGUGUAUAGAUUUAAAAAUCCGAUAUA